GAUGAACGCUGGCGGCGUGCCUAACACAUGCAAGUCGAACGGACUAGAAUGAAACCUAGUGAUUUUAGUUAGUGGCGGACGGGUGAGUAACGCGUGGGUAACCUGCCGUAUACAGGGGGAUAACACUUAGAAAUAGGUGCUAAUACCGCAUAAGCGCACAGUGUCGCAUGAUACAGUGUGAAAAGCCUUGACGGUAUACGAUGGACCCGCGUCUGAUUAGCUAGUUGGUAGGGUAACGGCUUACCAAGGCGACGAUCAGUAGCCGACCUGAGAGGGUGAUCGGCCACAUUGGAACUGAGACACGGUCCAAACUCCUACGGGAGGCAGCAGUGGGGAAUAUUGCACAAUGGGCGAAAGCCUGAUGCAGCAACGCCGCGUGAGCGAUGAAGGCCUUCGGGUCGUAAAGCUCUGUCCUCAAGGAAGAUAAUGACGGUACUUGAGGAGGAAGCCCCGGCUAACUACGUG
RNAcentral lists this ribosomal RNA (465 nucleotides) under uncultured bacterium. RNAcentral's name for it is "bacterial SSU rRNA". It matches the Rfam family "Bacterial small subunit ribosomal RNA", at positions 28 to 507 of the family's 1533-position model. The record is from RNAcentral.